Molecule: ribosomal RNA, 253 nt
Filed under: uncultured bacterium
Lineage: Bacteria
Description: partial 16S ribosomal RNA
Rfam family: Bacterial small subunit ribosomal RNA
Source: RNAcentral
UAAGGAGGGUGCGAGCGUUACUCGGAAUCACUGGGCGUAAAGGGCGCGUAGGCGGUCUAGCAAGUCUGGUGUGAAAGCCCAGGGCUCAACCCUGGGAGGGCACUGGAAACUGCUAGGCUUGAGUUCCGGAUAGGAGGGGGGAAUUCCCGGUGUAGCGGUGAAAUGCGUAGAUAUCGGGAGGAAUACCGGUUGCGAAGGCGGCCCUCUGGACGGAGACUUACGCUGAGGCGCGAAAGCGUGGGGAGCAAACAGG